Long non-coding RNA from Pongo pygmaeus (Bornean orangutan), 525 nucleotides. RefSeq lists it as uncharacterized. Lineage: Eukaryota; Metazoa; Chordata; Mammalia; Primates; Hominidae. The record is from RefSeq and is a predicted model, not a curated record. The transcript is spliced from 3 exons.
UAAAUAGCAACUCUGGCUGUUUUUUCCCACAGCUGACAACAGAGUCAACCUCUUCGAGGCAGGAGCAUUCUGGCAUUUUGCACAGAGAAAACAGAACACAAUUUGCCCUCGGGCCCAGUUGAUGAUUCCUGGACCGUGGGGUCGGUAUCCAGGGCUGGCAUCUCCACGGUUCUUUUAUCUCAGUCUCCACUAUAAACACCAGGCCCCAUGAGAGCUGCUGGGCUGAGGCUCAUUUAAAGAAGCUUCCUGCGGAAUGAUGAGGGAAAAAAGGCAGGCACCGGUGAGUGGGAAGUUCAGCCUCAUAGAAGUCCCCUUGCUGGUGCAGGUCAUGAGGAAGAUGAACUAGCAAAGCUGAGAUGCGCCCAUCACGGGCAAGCAUUGAGGAGGAAGCUGUUCACGAAGCCAGACGUGCCUACCUAACUACUAUCUCCAGCAGCAAUUACAGCAUCUGACUCGUUUGUGCUUUUAGUCAGAGAAAAACGCAUCACCUUGGAAUCCUGAUCUUGUGAGUUCUUUGUUACAGGA